This 90-nucleotide ribosomal RNA is filed under the name Zymoseptoria brevis. The record is from RNAcentral. Lineage: Eukaryota; Fungi; Ascomycota; Dothideomycetes; Mycosphaerellales; Mycosphaerellaceae.
GCUUCCCGUCCGAUCAGCCAUGAUAAUCAUCUAAUCGCUACACUAGUACUCAAGUUGGUGACAAUUGGGGAAUCCGUAGUGUUGUAUGUU